This 463-nucleotide long non-coding RNA is filed under the name Triticum aestivum (bread wheat). RNAcentral describes it as "long non-coding RNA (TAES_LNC023554)". The record is from RNAcentral. Lineage: Eukaryota; Viridiplantae; Streptophyta; Magnoliopsida; Poales; Poaceae.
GCGCUUUUCUGAAAGUAUGUUACGAUCCUGCUCUUGGGAGAUUAAGCUGUUGUCAUUUUGCUUCAUAAAUAAUUGGCAUGCUAAAACAUUGGUUGUUGCUUCAGUGGUGGGGGCCAAUAAUAGAAAGAAGUUGCUUCCUUAGAUGGUUGGUUAGGUCGUGGGUGCAGCAAGGAAAGGGCCACCUGAUGACGGUUCUGGACUUGAGGUCUAACAAAAAGUAUUGUUCAGUGUAGUGUUUUUCUGGUUUCUUGAUCAGUGUGUCAGAGGCCAUGAAUUCUUUUCAUGCUUGCAAAGUUUUUUUUGGAUUGUAUUUGAAAAGUAUACCCCGAUUGAGAGGCUAGGAGGGAUCUUGCUGAACAAAUAUACCUGACUUCAUGAAUGUCUGUACAGUUAGUCAGAGAUGAAAUGACAAGCAGCUCUCCUGCGUCGUUCGAGAAGAAAAGAAAACAAAAGACGAGGAUUA